ACUACGGGAGGCUGCAGUGAGGAAUAUUGGUCAAUGGGCGCGAGCCUGAACCAGCCAAGUAGCGUGAAGGAUGACUGCCCUACGGGUUGUAAACUUCUUUUAUAAAGGAAUAAAGUGAGGCACGUGUGCCGUUUUGUAUGUACUUUAUGAAUAAGGAUCGGCUAACUCCGUGCCAGCAGCCGCGGUAAUACGGAGGAUCCGAGCGUUAUCCGGAUUUAUUGGGUUUAAAGGGAGCGUAGAUGGGUUGUUAAGUCAGUUGUGAAAGUUUGCGGCUCAACAUUAAAAGUGCAAUUGAUACUGGCAGCCUUGAGUACAUGUGAGGUAGGCGGAAUUCGUGGUGUAGCGGUGAAAUGCGUAGAUAUCACGAAGAACUCCGAUUGCGAAGGCAGCUUACUAAACUGCCACUGACAUUGAUGCUCGAAAGUGUGGGUAGCAAACAGGAUUAGAUACCCUUGUAGUC
This 460-nucleotide ribosomal RNA is filed under the name uncultured bacterium. Its description in RNAcentral is "partial 16S ribosomal RNA". It matches the Rfam family "Bacterial small subunit ribosomal RNA", at positions 338 to 795 of the family's 1533-position model. The record is from RNAcentral.